CCCUUAGAUGUCCUGGGCCGCACGCGCGCUACACUGACACACGCAUCGAGUCUUCCUUGUCCGAAAGGUCUGGGUAAUCUUGUAAAUGUGUGUCGUGAUAGGGAUAGAUUAUUGCAAUUAUUAAUCUUGAACGAGGAAUUCCUAGUAAAUGCAAAUCAUCAGUUUGCGUUGAUUACGUCCCUGCCCUUUGUACACACCGCCCGUCGCACCUACCGAUUGGAUGAUUCGGUGAAACUCUCGGACCGUAGCUUGGACACCUUCGGGUGACCUCGCUGUGGGAAGUUAUUUAAACCUCAUCAUCUAGAGGAAGGUGAAGUCGUAACA
Molecule: ribosomal RNA, 324 nt
Filed under: uncultured eukaryote
Lineage: Eukaryota
Description: partial 18S ribosomal RNA
Rfam family: Eukaryotic small subunit ribosomal RNA
Source: RNAcentral